UUGAAGUGUGGACGCCAGUCUGCAUGGAGCCGACCUUGAAAUACCACCCUUUAAUGUUUGAUGUUCUAACGUGGGCCCCUUACCGGGGUUGCGGACAGUGUCUGGUGGGUAGUUUGACUGGGGCGGUCUCCUCCUAAAGAGUAACGGAGGAGCACGAAGGUUGGCUAAUCCUGGUCGGACAUCAGGAGGUUAGUGCAAUGGCAUAAGCCAGCUUGACUGCGAGCGUGACGGCGCGAGCAGGUGCGAAAGCAGGUCAUAGUGAUCCGGUGGUUCUGAAUGGAAGGGCCAUCGCUCAACGGAUAAAAGGUACUCCGGGGAUAACAGGCUGAUACCGCCCAAGAGUUCAUAUCGACGGCGGUGUUUGGCACCUCGAUGUCGGCUCAUCACAUCCUGGGGCUGAAGUAGGUCCCAAGGGUAUGGCUGUUCGCCAUUUAAAGUGGUACGCGAGCUGGGUUUAGAACGUCGUGAGACAGUUCGGUCCCUAUCUGCCGUGGGCGCUGGAGAACUGAGGGGGGCUGCUCCUAGUACGAGAGGACCGGAGUGGACGCAUCACUGGUGUUCGGGUUGUCAUGCCAAUGGCACUGCCCGGUAGCUAAAUGCGGAAGAGAUAAGUGCUGAAAGCAUCUAAGCACGAAACUUGCCCCGAGAUGAGUUCUCCCUGACUCCUUGAGAGUCCUGAAGGAACGUUGAAGACGACGACGUUGAUAGGCCGGGUGUGUAAGCGCAGCGAUGCGUUGAGCUAACCGGUACUAAUGAACCGUGAGGCUUAACCUUACAACGCCGAAG
Molecule: ribosomal RNA, 786 nt
Filed under: Escherichia coli
Lineage: Bacteria; Pseudomonadati; Pseudomonadota; Gammaproteobacteria; Enterobacterales; Enterobacteriaceae
Description: partial 23S ribosomal RNA
Rfam family: Bacterial large subunit ribosomal RNA
Source: RNAcentral